RNAcentral lists this ribosomal RNA (605 nucleotides) under uncultured bacterium. RNAcentral's name for it is "bacterial SSU rRNA". It matches the Rfam family "Bacterial small subunit ribosomal RNA", at positions 201 to 803 of the family's 1533-position model. The record is from RNAcentral.
CAAAGGGGGCGACCCCGGUCAUGGAUGGGCAUGCGGCGCAUUAGGUAGUUGGUGGGGCAACGGCCCACCAAGCCGACGAUGCGUAGGGGUUCUGAGAGGAAGGUCCCCCACAUUGGAACUGAGACACGGUCCAAACUCCUACGGGAGGCAGCAGUGAGGAAUAUUGGUCAAUGGCCGGAAGGCUGAACCAGCCAAGUCGCGUGAGGGAAUAAGGCCCUACGGGUCGUAAACCUCUUUUGCCAGGGAGCAAUGCCGUCCACGUGUGGACGGAAGGAGAGUACCUGGAGAAAAAGCAUCGGCUAACUCCGUGCCAGCAGCCGCGGUAAUACGGAGGAUGCGAGCGUUAUCCGGAUUUAUUGGGUUUAAAGGGUGCGUAGGCGGCCUGCCAAGUCAGCGGUAAAAUUGCGGGGCUCAACCCCGUACAGCCGUUGAAACUGCCGGGCUCGAGUGGGCGAGAAGUAUGCGGAAUGCGUGGUGUAGCGGUGAAAUGCAUAGAUAUCACGCAGAACCCCGAUUGCGAAGGCAGCAUACCGGCGCCCGACUGACGCUGAGGCACGAAAGUGCGGGGAUCAAACAGGAUUAGAUACCCUGGUAGUCCGCACAGU